AAAACACCUUCGCGGUUCAGGCCACCACGUAAGAAAGCAUACUAAGUAGAAGACCUCAACUGGGGCCUGGGAAACUGGAGGAACUCUGCCCAGUUUGGUGGAACAAGACAUGUCCCUGCGAUGCCUGGAUAAAUGAUAUAAAAGGAGGAAGAAACAGAAGGAAGAAUAAAUGCACAGAACAUCUUGACAGUGUGACCUGCAUAUAUGCCUUCCUUUCAAUAGACAGAGAGACACACAGAUCCAGACACAGAAAAGCCAGAUGCCAGUGAACCAGUUCCCAGAUGGAGGGUAGAAAGUCCUACAACUAUUUCCACUCCGGAUGUGACCCCAGAUGGCCCCUCUGUGAACAGAAAGGACCCAAGAUGGUCCCUCCAUGAAUGGAAAGGACCCCAGAUGGCCCUUUCAUGAAUGGAAGG
This is a long non-coding RNA of Equus quagga, 416 nucleotides long. RefSeq lists it as uncharacterized. The record is from RefSeq and is a predicted model, not a curated record. The transcript has 3 exons. NCBI's taxonomy places the organism in Eukaryota, Metazoa, Chordata, Mammalia, Perissodactyla, Equidae.